GGCUCAGUGGUCCAAUGGUAAAGCGCUCGUCGCGGAGCUAAAGGGUCCUGGAUUCGAUUCCCAACGGGGUCA
RNAcentral lists this transfer RNA (72 nucleotides) under Schistosoma japonicum. RNAcentral describes it as "tRNA-OTHER". The record is from RNAcentral. Lineage: Eukaryota; Metazoa; Platyhelminthes; Trematoda; Strigeidida; Schistosomatidae.